CCUACGGGAGGCAGCAGUGGGGAAUCUUGCGCAAUGGCCUCAGGGCUGACGCAGCGACGCCGCGUGCGGGAGGACGCUCUUCGGGGUGUAAACCGCUGUCAGGGGGGACGAAACCCCGGGGGAGGAAAUGCCCUCGGGUUGACGGUACCUCCAGAGGAAGCACCGGCUAACUCCGUGCCAGCAGCCGCGGUAAUACGGAGGGUGCGAGCGUUGUUCGGAAUUAUUGGGCGUAAAGCGCGCGUAGGCGGCUUCUUAAGUCUCACUGUGAAAGCCCGGGGCUCAACCCCGGGAGGCCAGGGGAUACUGGGGAGCUGGAGACAGGUAGAGGCAGACGGAAUUCCGGGUGUAGCGGUGGAAUGCGUAGAGAUCCGGAAGAACACCAGAGGCGAAGGCGGUCUGCUGGACCUGGUCUGACGCUGAGGCGCGAAAGCGUGGGGAGC
This 440-nucleotide ribosomal RNA is filed under the name uncultured bacterium. RNAcentral describes it as "bacterial SSU rRNA". It matches the Rfam family "Bacterial small subunit ribosomal RNA", at positions 338 to 769 of the family's 1533-position model. The record is from RNAcentral.